This 872-nucleotide ribosomal RNA is filed under the name Phytophthora primulae. Its description in RNAcentral is "eukaryotic LSU rRNA". The stretch from base 234 to 388 matches the Rfam family "5.8S ribosomal RNA". The record is from RNAcentral. Lineage: Eukaryota; Oomycota; Peronosporomycetes; Peronosporales; Peronosporaceae.
CCGUAGGUGAACCUGCGGAAGGAUCAUUACCACACCUAAAAACUUCCCCCGUGAACCGUAUCAACCCUUUUUUAUUGGGGGCUGCUGACUGGACUGGCUUCGGCUGGACUGGGUGGCGGCUCUAGCGCGACCGUUCUGGGCUUCGGCUUGGGGCUAGUAGCUUUCUUUUUAAACCCAUUCUUAAUUUACUGAAAUACUGUGGGGACGAAAGUCUCUGCUUUUAACUAGAUAGCAACUUUCAGCAGUGGAUGUCUAGGCUCGCACAUCGAUGAAGAACGCUGCGAACUGCGAUACGUAAUGCGAAUUGCAGGAUUCAGUGAGUCAUCGAAAUUUUGAACGCAUAUUGCACUUCCGGGUUCGUCCUGGAAGUAUGCCUGUAUCAGUGUCCGUACAAUAAACUUGGCUCCCUUCCUUCCGUGUAGUCGGUGGAUGGGGAUGCCAGAUGUGAAGUGUCUUGCGACUGGACUUUGAUCUAGAUGCGAGUCCUUUUAAAUGUACUAAAACUGUAUUCUCUUUGCUCGAAAAGCGUGACGUUGCUGGUUGUGGAGGCUGCCUGUAUGGCCAGUCGGCGACCGGUUUGUCUGCUGCGGUGUUUAUGGAGAAGUGUUUAAUUCGCGGUAUGGUUGGCUUCGGCUGAACAAUGCGCUUAUUAAAUGUUUUUCUUACUGUGGCGGAUAGACUGGUGAACCGUAGCUGUGUAGGCUUGGCCUUUGAACCGGUGAUAUUGUGCGAAGUAGAGUGACGGCUGUUCCGGCGCAAGCUGGGGUGGCUGUCGAGGGUCGAUCCAUUUGGGAAAUGUUGUGCCGUUGCGACCUCGGUUGCUUUGGCAUCUCAAUUGGACCUGAUAUCAGGCAAGAUUACCCGCUGAACUU